UGGGGAAUAUUGGGCAAUGGGCGCAAGCCUGACCCAGCCAUGCCGCGUGAGUGAUGAAGGCCUUCGGGUCGUAAAGCUCUGUGGAGAGGGAAGAACAUCGACGUGGCUAACAUCCACGGCGACUGACGGUACCUCUUUAGCAAGCACCGGCUAACUUCGUGCCAGCAGCCGCGGUAAUACGAGGGGUGCAAACGUUGCUCGGAAUCAUUGGGCGUAAAGCGCGCGUAGGCGGCUUGUUAAGUUGGGUGUGAAAGCCCUGGGCUCAACCCAGGAAGUGCACUCAAAACUGGCAAGCUUGAAUCUGGAAGAGGGUCGCGGAAUUCCCGGUGUAGAGGUGAAAUUCGUAGAUAUCGGGAGGAACACCAGUGGCGAAAGCGGCGACCUGGGCCAAGAUUGACGCUGAGGCGCGAAAGCGUGGGGAGCAAACAGG
Molecule: ribosomal RNA, 430 nt
Filed under: uncultured Myxococcales bacterium
Lineage: Bacteria; Pseudomonadati; Myxococcota; Myxococcia; Myxococcales
Description: bacterial SSU rRNA
Rfam family: Bacterial small subunit ribosomal RNA
Source: RNAcentral